GAGAGAGAGAGCUCUAGGGAAGAGAGAGAGAGAGAGAGAGAGGGAAGAGAGAGAGAGAGAGAGAGAGAGGGAGAGAGAGAGAGAGAGAGAGAGAGAGGGGGAAGAGAGAGAGUGAGAGGGAAGAGAGAGAGAGUGAGGUAAGAGAAAGGAGAAGAGAGGGAGAGUUAGAGAGCUUUAGGGAAGAGAGAGAGAGAGCUCUAGGGAAGAGAGAGAGAGAGAGAGGGAAGAGAGAGAGAGAGAAGAGAGAGGGAAGAGAGAGGGAAGAGAGAGAAGAGAGAGAGAGAGAGCGAGGGAGAGAGGGAAGAGAGAGAGAGAGAGAGAGAGAGAGAGAGAGAGAGAGAGAGAGAGAGUUAGAGGGAAGAGAGAGAGAGAGAGAGCUCUAGGGAAGAGAGCUAGAGGGAAGAGAGAGAGAGUGAGGUAAGAGAAAUAGAGAGAGAGAGAGAGGGAAGAGAGAGAGCGAGAGGGAAGAGAGAGAGAGAGUGAGGUAAGAGAAAGAGAGAAGAGAGAGAAGAGAGAGGGAGAGAGAGAGAGAGAGAGUGAAGUAACAGAUAGAGAGUGAGAGAGAGAGAGAGGGAAGAGAGAGAGAAAGGUAAAGGGAAGAGAGAGAGAGAGGUAAGAGAAAGAGAAAGUUAGAGGGAAGAGAUAGAGAGAGAGGGAUGAGAGACGAGAUGGACGAGAGAUGAGAGGGACGAGAGGAGAGAGAGAGAGGGAUGAGAGAGAGAGGGAUGAGAGAGAGCGGGACGAGAGAGAGAGAGGGACGAGAGAGAGAGGGAGA
This is a long non-coding RNA of Oncorhynchus tshawytscha (Chinook salmon), 775 nucleotides long. The record is from Ensembl. Lineage: Eukaryota; Metazoa; Chordata; Actinopteri; Salmoniformes; Salmonidae.